UGAGAUCCCCCGAUGGUCGCGGCCCGUCCCAUGGAUGGGCUGAGGAACUUCCGGGCUCCGCAGAGCACGAUGGCGGAUAACGUCCGCCCAGGGUGACCUGAGAGAUAGCGCAGCAGAGAACAGACCGCCGUCCGGCUUGCCGGGCGGUAAGGGUGAAACGGCGGUGUAAGAGACCACCGGGCCUCCGGCAACGGCAGGCCGCAUGGCAAGCCUCAUCGGGAGCAAGGCCAAGCAGAGGACUAUGGGGUUGCUCGCCCGCGUCCUCGGGUAGGCUGCUAGAGCCUGGCGGCGACGUCAGGUCGAGAUGGAUGGCCAUCCGCGCGCGCCUUCGGCGCGCGCGACAGAACCCGGGGUAUAGGGGAUCUCAACAU
This 371-nucleotide RNase P RNA is filed under the name Bifidobacterium vespertilionis. Its description in RNAcentral is "RNase P RNA component class A". It matches the Rfam family "Bacterial RNase P class A". From Rfam's summary of the family: Ribonuclease P (RNase P) is a ubiquitous endoribonuclease, found in archaea, bacteria and eukarya as well as chloroplasts and mitochondria. Its best characterised activity is the generation of mature 5'-ends of tRNAs by cleaving the 5'-leader elements of precursor-tRNAs. Lineage: Bacteria; Bacillati; Actinomycetota; Actinomycetes; Bifidobacteriales; Bifidobacteriaceae. The record is from RNAcentral.